CAGCUGCCUAGCGAAGGGCAACA
Molecule: microRNA, 23 nt
Filed under: Manduca sexta (tobacco hornworm)
Lineage: Eukaryota; Metazoa; Arthropoda; Insecta; Lepidoptera; Sphingidae
Also listed under: 1 other name
Description: mse-miR-745
Gene: mse-miR-745
Source: miRBase by way of RNAcentral